RNAcentral lists this ribosomal RNA (253 nucleotides) under uncultured bacterium. RNAcentral's name for it is "partial 16S ribosomal RNA". It matches the Rfam family "Bacterial small subunit ribosomal RNA", at positions 524 to 776 of the family's 1533-position model. The record is from RNAcentral.
UACGAAGGGGGCUAGCGUUGUCCGGAUUUAUUGGGCGUAAAGAGCGUGUAGGCGGCCAGGCAGGUCUGCUGUGAAAACUCGAGGCUUAACCUCGAGCUGUCGGCGGAAACCAUCUGGCUAGAGUCCGGAAGAGGAGAAUGGAAUUCCCGGUGUAGCGGCGAAAUGCGCAGAUAUCGGGAAGAACACCCGUGGCGAAGGCGGUUCUCUGGGACGGUACUGACGCUGAGACGCGAAAGCGUGGGGAGCGAACAGG